UACGAAGGGGGCUAGCGUUGUUCGGAAUCACUGGGCGUAAAGCGCACGUAGGCGGAUGUGUCAGUCAGGGGUGAAAUCCCGGGGCUCAACCUCGGAACUGCCUCUGAUACAACACGUCUUGAGUCCGGAAGAGGUGGGUGGAAUUCCUAGUGUAGAGGUGAAAUUCGUAGAUAUUAGGAAGAACACCGGUGGCGAAGGCGACCCACUGGUCCGGUACUGACGCUGAGGUGCGAAAGCGUGGGGAGCAAACGGG
RNAcentral lists this ribosomal RNA (253 nucleotides) under uncultured bacterium. RNAcentral's name for it is "partial 16S ribosomal RNA". It matches the Rfam family "Bacterial small subunit ribosomal RNA", at positions 524 to 776 of the family's 1533-position model. The record is from RNAcentral.